RNAcentral lists this non-coding RNA (186 nucleotides) under Planktothricoides sp. SR001. Its description in RNAcentral is "6S / SsrS RNA". It matches the Rfam family "6S / SsrS RNA". Rfam says of the family: E. coli 6S RNA was the first non coding RNA to be sequenced, but its function was unknown until recently. It consists of 184 nucleotides that fold into an extended hairpin structure with a large single-stranded internal bulge. The 6S RNA specifically associates with RNA polymerase holoenzyme containing the sigma70 specificity factor. The record is from Rfam by way of RNAcentral. RNAcentral also lists the same sequence under 4 other names. Lineage: Bacteria; Bacillati; Cyanobacteriota; Cyanophyceae; Oscillatoriales; Oscillatoriaceae.
GUAAAGCUGCAACGUUGGUGACUGCCAAUACUGUUUUAUGAUCUAUGCUUUAUCUAUAAGGGAACCAAAAAUAGAUCCAGUGGCAGUAGACCGAGCUUGUACUCGGAAACUUUAAACAGGACAUAAUGUUCCCACCUGACGUUCGUCAGGUCAAAAACUGAGGUAAAACGGCGUUGCGGUGAGCCA